This 360-nucleotide unclassified non-coding RNA is filed under the name plant metagenome. Its description in RNAcentral is "partial contains 5.8S ribosomal RNA, internal transcribed spacer 2, and large subunit ribosomal RNA". The stretch from base 1 to 105 matches the Rfam family "5.8S ribosomal RNA", at positions 50 to 154 of the family's 154-position model. The record is from RNAcentral.
GAAAUGCGAUAAGUAAUGUGAAUUGCAGAAUUCAGUGAAUCAUCGAAUCUUUGAACGCACAUUGCGCCCGCCGACAUCCCGACGGGCAUGCCUGUUCGAGCGUCAUUUCAACCCUCGCGAGUCGGGCUCUUUUGCCCCUCCCGUCGACGUUGGGGUCGUUCGCCCGACGCCUCCCGGCGCGGGCGGCCCCCGAACCCAGCGGCGGCGGCCGCCUUCCUCCCGGCGUUGCAGAAGGUUCGUCGAACCCCCUCGCCAGCGGAGCGGAUCCGGACGCCUGCCUUGCCACACGAACCCCGCUCGGGUCUCGCCCGAACGUACGAUUGACCUCGGAUCAGGUAGGGAUACCCGCUGAACUUAAGC